Non-coding RNA from Callorhinus ursinus (northern fur seal), 135 nucleotides. The record is from RefSeq and is a predicted model, not a curated record. NCBI's taxonomy places the organism in Eukaryota, Metazoa, Chordata, Mammalia, Carnivora, Otariidae.
CUGCUGGUCUGUGGCGAGCCGCGGACGCUGGUCUCUGUUCCGCAGGACGGGGUUUGUUAAGGUUGUCAAGAAUAAGGCUUACUUCAAGAGAUACCAAGUGAAAGUUAGAAGAAGAUGAGAGGUCGGAAGAGGGUC